UCCAUAAACAAAGAAUUGUCAUCGAAGCUUACAAAAGGACAUGUUUUUUCAUGUCAUACGCUUAAUUCACUAGCGUAUUUGCUUCGGGGAAAGUCUCCUGUCACAGCAGCGGAAACGCGAUAGAAUAUCAUCAAUUCUAUUAGAUGUCUUCCUUAGAUUUCCAACAUUGGGCCCGAAUUCAGGUCUUUAUCAGUGCUGGAGAAUUGUGACUCACAAGUAUCCCCUGAUUAGACGAACCUCUCGGAGGGCAUGAAUGCACACCAAUCCCACCAUGACAGUAUGGCCGUGACAAGGCUGCGCGACAAGGUUGCGCGCGAUGUGCGGGGGGUAUGACCCCUGCCAUCCACAACAAUGGUUGAUUUCUACUGGAAAUUUUUUUUACUGGAUACGUGUGGGUGGAGGUAUAGAGCAAUUCGGUGGGUGCUCCAAGAAUGGUUUGCUUUCAGUUCGGUUUAAGUAUCGGUCGGUCAUUGGUUGAUCCUUGUUGUGAGUCGAGGCUCUGUCGAUGUUUAUGGUUGUGUUACUAGCUCGUACGGGCCGUGUGCAUCCUCGGGUGCACGAUUGUCUGUCCCCCCGGUUGGAUCGGGUGGUCAAGCUCUGGUACAUGCCUAAAGCUAUCUGUCAGACCAUGUUCUUACUGUCAAGGAGUUAGCCACACUGAAUCGAUUCUGCCGGUUUCAACUGUUUGCGACCUGUGGUGUCGCCUGCGCUAGGUCUUGUCUCAAUCUCUGAAUCCCCGCAGUUAAUUGCUUACGGAGCAAAGAAAAGGAUUAGCGUUUAAGUGCAGUGAACAUUGUUUGAAUAGAUACCGGUGUCCGUUGGGUCUUGGAUGAUGUUUAGAGGUUCCCAGUUUGGGUAUUUAAUUUCCCAGCUGGAUGUUGUGCCCGUUUCGGGUAUUACCAUUUUGACAAUGGGACUUUGUGUCCUGGACCAUAGUCAUGACGAUUGAUCAAUUUCGAUCAACCCAAUGGAGCUUACUCUUGUUUUAUGG
Molecule: RNase MRP RNA, 991 nt
Filed under: Lodderomyces parapsilosis CDC317
Lineage: Eukaryota; Fungi; Ascomycota; Pichiomycetes; Serinales; Debaryomycetaceae
Description: Candida parapsilosis CDC317 RNase MRP
Rfam family: RNase MRP
About the family: RNase MRP is an enzymatically active ribonucleoprotein with two distinct roles in eukaryotes. In mitochondria it plays a direct role in the initiation of mitochondrial DNA replication.
Source: Rfam by way of RNAcentral